AGCGAACGCUGGCGGCAGGCCUAACACAUGCAAGUCGAACGAACCUUUCGGGGUUAGUGGCGGACGGGUGAGUAACACGUGGGAACGUGCCUUUAGGUUCGGAAUAACUCAGGGAAACUUGUGCUAAUACCGAAUGUGCCCUUCGGGGGAAAGAUUUAUCGCCUUUAGAGCGGCCCGCGUCUGAUUAGCUAGUUGGUUGAGGUAAUGGCUCACCAAGGCGACGAUCAGUAGCUGGUCUGAGAGGAUGAUCAGCCACAUUGGGACUGAGACACGGCCCAAACUCCUACGGGAGGCAGCAGUGGGGAAUCUUGCGCAAUGGGCGAAAGCAUGAAGCAGCCAUGCCGCGUGAAUGAUGAAGGUCUUAGGAUUGUAAAAUUCUUUCACCGGGGACGAUAAUGACGGUACCCGGAGAAGAAGCCCCGGCUAACUUCGUG
This 434-nucleotide ribosomal RNA is filed under the name uncultured bacterium. RNAcentral's name for it is "partial 16S ribosomal RNA". It matches the Rfam family "Bacterial small subunit ribosomal RNA", at positions 29 to 507 of the family's 1533-position model. The record is from RNAcentral.